This 872-nucleotide ribosomal RNA is filed under the name uncultured bacterium. Its description in RNAcentral is "bacterial SSU rRNA". It matches the Rfam family "Bacterial small subunit ribosomal RNA", at positions 8 to 856 of the family's 1533-position model. The record is from RNAcentral.
AGAGUUUGAUCCUGGCUCAGGAUGAACGCUGGCGGCGUGCCUAAUACAUGCAAGUCGAGCGAACAGACGAGGAGCUUGCUCCUUUGACGUUAGCGGCGGACGGGUGAGUAACACGUAGGUAACCUACCUAUAAGACUGGGAUAACUUCGGGAAACCGGAGCUAAUACCGGAUAAUAUUUCGAACCGCAUGGUUCGAUAGUGAAAGAUGGCUUUGCUAUCACUUAUAGAUGGACCUGCGCCGUAUUAGCUAGUUGGUAAGGUAACGGCUUACCAAGGCAACGAUACGUAGCCGACCUGAGAGGGUGAUCGGCCACACUGGAACUGAGACACGGUCCAGACUCCUACGGGAGGCAGCAGUAGGGAAUCUUCCGCAAUGGGCGAAAGCCUGACGGAGCAACGCCGCGCGAGUGAUGAAGGUCUUCGGAUCGUAAAACUCUGUUAUUAGGGAAGAACAAACGUGUAAGUAACUGUGCACGUCUUGACGGUACCUAAUCAGAAAGCCACGGCUGACUACGUGCCAGCAGCCGCGGCAAUACGUAGGUGGCAAGCGUUAUCCGGAAUUAUUGGGCGUAAAGCGCGCGUAGGCGGUUUUUUAAGUCUGAUGUGAAAGCCCACGGCUCAACCGUGGAGGGUCAUUGGAAACUGGAAAACUUGAGUGCAGAAGAGGAAAAGUGGAAUUCCAUGUGUAGCGGUGAAAUGCGCAGAAAUAUGGAGGAACACCAGUGGCGAAGGCGACUUUCUGUCUGUAACUGACGCUGAUGUGCGAAAGCGUGGGGAUCAAACAGGAUUAGAUACCCUGGUAGUCCACGCCGGUAAACGAUGAGUGGCUAAGUGUUAGGGGGGUUUUCCGCCUCCUUAGUGCUGCAGCUUAA